Molecule: long non-coding RNA, 1321 nt
Filed under: Anas platyrhynchos platyrhynchos (common mallard)
Lineage: Eukaryota; Metazoa; Chordata; Aves; Anseriformes; Anatidae
Description: lncRNA (ENSAPLG00000026163.1)
Source: RNAcentral
GCAGGCUGCGGGCGGGGAGGGGGGGAGCGAGGAAGAGGAGGUGGAGGAGGAGGAGGAGGAGGAGGAGGAGGAGGAGGAGGGAGGAGGGUGUGCGUAGCGGGAGGAGGGGGGGAAGGAAACCCUCAUGGAAGUAUGAAGGAGAUGGUGGGAGGCUGCUGUGUCUGUUCUGAUGAGCGGGGCUGGGCGGAGAACCCGCUGGUGUACUGCGAUGGACACGGCUGCAAUGUGGCGGUGCACCAAGCGUAUCUCCAGCCUCUUCCUGGGCAGGCUCUCCCUCCGCGUCUUGCUGCGCGCUCCUGUCUCCGGCCGGGAACCUGUCCUGCGCUGCCUCCCCCCGCCUGUCAGGCCAGGUCUCUGGGUCUGUAGGUUGAGCUUUCUUCUGCUUUUCCUACGUUUGAUGUGUCUGCGCUCACAUCUUCUGCGAGAGCUCGCUUGCAACCAGGUGACUGAAGGGGAGGUGAAAAGAGGAAGCGAAGCUGGCGGGGGAUUUCUCUCCGUUCAGUCAGUGCCUGGGUGUCUCCUGCCCUAAAACAGCCCCGCCAGGUUGCCUCCGUGUGACCGGCAGCAUGUAGGGUCUCUCUGCAAGGAUGCUCGCUUGUUUUAGUUUUGGUGCUGUAACUCUUGCGUUCUUCCCAAGACUUGUCAAGCCACCCACUAGAGAACGUGCCUCUGCACAGCAAUUUGUGGAGGGAGAUUAAGGGCACUGGCAUCCUCGUGCUCACCUCCAAGAGUAACAUCAACACGUCUAUUUGCUGGCUAGAACAGUCUCAAAUCUGCGGUCCGUUUAUUCUUGUAGGGUGCCUGCUCGUGGGCCCGCACGGUUACGGAGAUGGAUGCGCUCGUUUCGAGGCAGCCAAGCGGGUGGGCGGCGUUGGGAGGGUUGGGAGGCGUUAGGAGAGGGCACUGCUGGGGUGUUCGGAAGGCUCAACUGUGUGUUUAGGGCUUGUAGGAGUCCGUCAGGAUGCAGGAAUUCAUAAGGAGUGUAGCAGUGUGUAGUGGGUGUUCAGGAUACCUUCAGUCCCCUUUUUAAAGCCCGCUCACAAACCUAGUAGUCGCGUGGUGUUUUUGGUGGGCUUUCAGUCACUCCACAGAAGCAAACCACUGCAGAGGUUCAGCUGGGCCUUCUAGUCUCAUUCCCUACAACCACACACUAGGUUUGGUAUCUCUUUGUACUGCUUGAAUAUCUGCAAAACCAAAGUUGCCUUUUGAAAUGAUUGUACAGCCCAGUACAGAACCCUCUGUUUAUUUUAAGCUUAUGUUAUAGCUACACAUUAAAGCUGAUUUUAGAAAAAAAAAUAAAAACAGUACCAUUUCCUUGACA